RNAcentral lists this ribosomal RNA (465 nucleotides) under Vreelandella stevensii. RNAcentral describes it as "partial 16S ribosomal RNA". It matches the Rfam family "Bacterial small subunit ribosomal RNA", at positions 338 to 795 of the family's 1533-position model. Lineage: Bacteria; Pseudomonadati; Pseudomonadota; Gammaproteobacteria; Oceanospirillales; Halomonadaceae. The record is from RNAcentral.
CCUACGGGGGGCUGCAGUGGGGAAUAUUGGACAAUGGGCGAAAGCCUGAUCCAGCCAUGCCGCGUGUGUGAAGAAGGCCUUCGGGUUGUAAAGCACUUUCAGUGGGGAAGAAAGCCUUGGGGCUAAUACCCUCGAGGAAGGACAUCACCCACAGAAGAAGCACCGGCUAACUCCGUGCCAGCAGCCGCGGUAAUACGGAGGGUGCGAGCGUUAAUCGGAAUUACUGGGCGUAAAGCGCGCGUAGGCGGUCUGAUAAGCCGGUUGUGAAAGUCCCGGGCUCAACCUGGGAACGGCAUCCGGAACUGUCAGGCUAGAGUGCAGGAGAGGAAGGUAGAAUUCCCGGUGUAGCGGUGAAAUGCGUAGAGAUCGGGAGGAAUACCAGUGGCGAAGGCGGCCUUCUGGACUGACACUGACGCUGAGGUGCGAAAGCGUGGGUAGCAAACAGGAUUAGAUACCCCAGUAGUC